GUGUGAGAACCUGUGUAGUGGUUUGAGCAUUGGAUUAGGACUCUGGAGUCCAGGGUUCAAAUCCCUGCUCAGCCA
This 75-nucleotide transfer RNA is filed under the name Phrynosoma platyrhinos (Desert horned lizard). RNAcentral's name for it is "tRNA-OTHER". The record is from RNAcentral. Lineage: Eukaryota; Metazoa; Chordata; Lepidosauria; Squamata; Phrynosomatidae.